Molecule: long non-coding RNA, 388 nt
Filed under: Rattus norvegicus (Norway rat)
Lineage: Eukaryota; Metazoa; Chordata; Mammalia; Rodentia; Muridae
Description: long non-coding RNA NONRATT033452
Source: RNAcentral
CUCUGGAGUCUAUAGACUCUGGAGGAGAACCUAAUAUUGCCACGUUCUUAAAUUAAUGUUUUCUACUUGUAUUUUAAUAUCAAUUUUAUACCCAUCUAUAAGUGUAUCUCUCAUCCAUCAUCAAAGAAGUUUCUUUUUUGCAACAGAUGGAGACCAUUGCGGGUUUCUACAGUAGUCAAGUAUACACAAUGACUAAUAGUCCGUUGCUAUCCCUUGCUUGAUGGAUCAACAAUACAGCUCGCAACAAUACCAGCUUAAGAAAUGCAUUUGUGAGGUGGGCACUCCUGAGGCUGCAGAGCGGAAGAGACCAACAACACUGCUCACCCCUGCCCACAUCCCUGGCCCAAGAGGAAACUGUAUAAGGCCUCUGGGCUCCCGUGGGGGAGGG